AAUCAAGCUGCAAAAUCUUCAGAAUUCUCUGGGAAAAGAAGCUUUGGAGUAAUUUUAAGUUGAAAAGGGAGUUUUUCAUGAACCAAAGUGGACGGUGUGUUAAAGAAAUGCUCUAUUUUGAGACCAACGCCGGGAGUACAAAUGUGAACUUGGAAGGAGUGACUGCGCCCCUUUCCACAGCCAGCUCAUCCAGUCCAUCCAGCUAAGGCCAUAUUGGGAAAGACCUCCUACUUACUCUGUCGGUCGUCUCCGAAAGGUGGCUUUUGCACAAGACGAGUAUACU
Mesocricetus auratus (golden hamster) is the source of this 283-nucleotide long non-coding RNA. RefSeq lists it as uncharacterized. The record is from RefSeq and is a predicted model, not a curated record. The transcript is spliced from 3 exons. NCBI's taxonomy places the organism in Eukaryota, Metazoa, Chordata, Mammalia, Rodentia, Cricetidae.